AUACGAUUCUCUGGUAUAUAAUUAUACACCUUUAAGAGCAACAAUAUGACGGUCAAAUGUUAUAAAAGAGAUGAUGACGAUUUAUAUAGCGAUUACUUACGACUCAUGUCCAUACGUCUUUAUAUUUAUAAGAACUUAUAAUAUAUUUUCGAAAUCUAGAAAAAUAGUAAAAUUGAUAAGCUCACAAAGAGUGGCGACAUUGAAAAAGUGAAAUAUAAAUGGUCUGUUUUGUGUUUACUCAUUUACUGCGUGCAAAUAACCACCAAACACAUUUUUCUUAUUACUAUCUCAACUCACAUGUUGGAUGAGCAAAUAUACACGUAUAUAUGUAUGUCGAUAUAAGCCUUCAGUGUCUAACAGAAUAGCAUCGAUUAUUUGCAAAGACAACGUAUGAUUUAAGAAUUAGUGCUGCUCAGGCCACUCAAAGCUGGAAAGAAUUAUGGCAGCUAAUUGGGAACUUUGCUUUAUUUACGGAUAUUAUGUGGUGUAGUAAAUCAUCCAACUAUG
Zeugodacus cucurbitae (melon fly) is the source of this 507-nucleotide long non-coding RNA. RefSeq lists it as uncharacterized. The transcript is spliced from 2 exons. The record is from RefSeq and is a predicted model, not a curated record. Lineage: Eukaryota; Metazoa; Arthropoda; Insecta; Diptera; Tephritidae.